UGCGGAGGGAUCAUUACACAAAUAUGAAGGCGGGCUGGAACCUCUCGGGGUUACAGCCUUGCUGAAUUAUUCACCCUUGUCUUUUGCGUACUUCUUGUUUCCUUGGUGGGUUCGCCCACCACUAGGACAAACAUAAACCUUUUGUAAUUGCAAUCAGCGUCAGUAACAAAUUAAUAAUUACAACUUUCAACAACGGAUCUCUUGGUUCUGGCAUCGAUGAAGAACGCAGCGAAAUGCGAUAAGUAGUGUGAAUUGCAGAAUUCAGUGAAUCAUCGAAUCUUUGAACGCACAUUGCGCCCUUUGGUAUUCCAAAGGGCAUGCCUGUUCGAGCGUCAUUUGUACCCUCAAGCUUUGCUUGGUGUUGGGCGUCUUGUCUCUAGCUUUGCUGGAGACUCGCCUUAAAGUAAUUGGCAGCCGGCCUACUGGUUUCGGAGCGCAGCACAAGUCGCACUCUCUAUCAGCAAAGGUCUAGCAUCCAUUAAGCCUUUUUUUCAACUUUUGACCUCGGAUCAGGUAGGGAUACCCGCUGAACUUAAGCAUAUCAA
Molecule: ribosomal RNA, 545 nt
Filed under: fungal endophyte
Lineage: Eukaryota; Fungi
Description: eukaryotic LSU rRNA
Rfam family: 5.8S ribosomal RNA (bases 182-335)
Source: RNAcentral